This 348-nucleotide long non-coding RNA is filed under the name Fukomys damarensis (Damara mole-rat). RNAcentral describes it as "lncRNA (ENSFDAG00000022053.1)". The record is from RNAcentral. Lineage: Eukaryota; Metazoa; Chordata; Mammalia; Rodentia; Bathyergidae.
UGUGCUGUGGAAUAGGAAUGAUGUAAAUGAAAUGGAUGUUUUCCUUUGACUUGAAGAAAAUACGUCAGCGUCAAGCUCCAUGGAAACAGAGAUGACAUCUGGCUCGUAGUAAGACCUGGGACAGAAAAACAGACUUUCCUGGUUUCCAAAUUCUUCAAGAAUAUGAGUUGGAGAAAUGCAAGCCAGUCAAUGUUUAUAAAGAUGAAGAUAGAAGAUUUGACAUCUCCAAAGAGGGCUUUGGAAAGAUUAAUUACAUAAAGAGUGCUUCCUUCCCGACUUAUGAAGAUCACAAUAUGAAGUGAUAACUCGUAGGAAUAUACAACCUAUCUGAACACCCUCAUGGAUUCC